Ricinus communis (castor bean) is the source of this 91-nucleotide non-coding RNA. The record is from Rfam. Lineage: Eukaryota; Viridiplantae; Streptophyta; Magnoliopsida; Malpighiales; Euphorbiaceae.
GAAAGUCGUGUGCAAUGAAAAAUGCAAGCACGGCUUGGAGAUGGAUUUUUUUUACCUAUUUUUUAACAAACAAUGAAAAUUUCUACUCUAU